This 762-nucleotide ribosomal RNA is filed under the name uncultured bacterium. Its description in RNAcentral is "bacterial SSU rRNA". It matches the Rfam family "Bacterial small subunit ribosomal RNA", at positions 33 to 773 of the family's 1533-position model. The record is from RNAcentral.
ACGCUGGCGGCGUGCCUAAUACAUGCAAGUCGAACGCACGAAGUUGAAGAGCUUGCUCUUUAACCAAGUGAGUGGCGGACGGGUGAGUAACACGUGGGUAACCUGCCCAUUAGAGGGGGAUAACAUUCGGAAACGGAUGCUAAUACCGCAUAGUUUCAGGAAUCGCAUGAUUCUUGAAGGAAAGGUGGCUUCGGCUACCACUAAUGGAUGGACCCGCGGCGUAUUAGCUAGUUGGUGAGGUAAUGGCUCACCAAGGCAAUGAUACGUAGCCGACCUGAGAGGGUGAUCGGCCACACUGGGACUGAGACACGGCCCAGACUCCUACGGGAGGCAGCAGUAGGGAAUCUUCCGCAAUGGACGAAAGUCUGACGGAGCAACGCCGCGUGAGUGAAGAAGGUUUUCGGAUCGUAAAGCUCUGUUGUUAAAGAAGAACAAGGAUGAGAGUAACUGCUCAUCCCCUGACGGUAUUUAACCAGAAAGCCACGGCUAACUACGUGCCAGCAGCCGCGGUAAUACGUAGGUGGCAAGCGUUGUCCGGAUUUAUUGGGCGUAAAGCGAGCGCAGGCGGUUCUUUAAGUCUGAUGUGAAAGCCCCCGGCUCAACCGGGGAGGGUCAUUGGAAACUGGAGAACUUGAGUGCAGAAGAGGAGAGUGGAAUUCCACGUGUAGCGGUGAAAUGCGUAGAUAUGUGGAAGAACACCAGUGGCGAAGGCGACUCUCUGGUCUGUAACUGACGCUGAGGCUCGAAAGCGUGGGAGCAAAC